GGUUUGUUAGUCAGAUGUGAAGCCCAGGGCUCAACCUUGGAACUGCAUUUGAUACUGGCUAACUAGAGUACGGUAGAGGAAUGGGGAAUUUCUGGUGUAGCGGUGAAAUGCGUAGAGAUCAGAAGGAACACCAAUGGCGAAGGCAACAUUCUGGACCGAUACUGACACUGAGGGACGAAAGCGUGGGGAUCAAACAGGAUUAGAUACCCUGGUAGUCCACGCUGUAAACGAUGAGUACUAGCUGUUGGAGUCUGUGUAAAGGCUCUAGUGGCGCAGCUAACGCGAUAAGUACUCCGCCUGGGGACUACGGCCGCAAGGCUAAAACUCAAAGGAAUUGACGGGGACCCGCACAAGCGGUGGAGCGUGUGGUUUAUUUCGAUGCAACGCAAAAAACCUUACCUGGUCUUGACAUCCUGCGAACUUUCUAGAGAUAGAUUGGUGCCUUCGGGAACGCAGUGACGGGUGCUGCACGGCUGUCGUCAGCUCGUGUUGUGAAAUGUUGGGUUACCUCCCGCAACGAGCGCAACCCCUAUUGAUAGA
This 540-nucleotide ribosomal RNA is filed under the name Francisella endosymbiont of Hyalomma asiaticum. RNAcentral describes it as "bacterial SSU rRNA". It matches the Rfam family "Bacterial small subunit ribosomal RNA", at positions 577 to 1115 of the family's 1533-position model. Lineage: Bacteria; Pseudomonadati; Pseudomonadota; Gammaproteobacteria; Thiotrichales; Francisellaceae. The record is from RNAcentral.